Dromaius novaehollandiae (emu) is the source of this 1560-nucleotide long non-coding RNA. The record is from Ensembl. NCBI's taxonomy places the organism in Eukaryota, Metazoa, Chordata, Aves, Casuariiformes, Dromaiidae.
GGUAAAUCGAGAUAAGGUUUUACAUCCCCUUACGCUUUGCGAGGGUUCCUGGCCCUGGCUGGCUUGUGCUGAAACGUGAUACUGGGAGCCGUUCUCGCUCAACCCGUUUAGCUUGUUACGGCGUCCCGUCCCGCCAGGGGAGCUGGCGGAGGGACCUGCAGCUUUCUCUCCCUUCAGCUCUUUCUUCUGGCAUUUCUUAGCUCAUCUAAAUGAAAGAUUCGUGCACGCGACAAACCCUGGCGCUACCUGGUCCCAGAAGCAGGCUGAGAUGGAGAAGCAGAAAGGAAGAAGUGUGCUCCAAACACGAGGCGGCUGGGAUGGUCAGAAAGGUCGUGGUGCGCGGCCCGUCCUUUCAUCGAGCCCUUCACCUUCACCCAUGGAGGAAGCUCUUUGGCUCUUUCCACACUGGGCUUGGACCUUGCAGCUCCCGGGACCCCCAAGGUCUGUUGGCAUCAGCAUCCUGGCCGGUCCCUGAGAAGCUUCUGGUUAUCAAGUGCUUCUGGGGACUGCUGUURGCCCUCAGGGCUGCUGACUCCUCCUGCAGCACUGUCUGGAGCUAAGACCCUUGCCACCCUUUCCUGGCACCAAGUGACAAUCAGGUGUCCCUGGCCAAAAGCGUUUUAAGGAAAGCAAGCAGCCAUGGAGUAGAAGCCUUGCGAGGUAAGAWGCUUAUGCUUUUAACUGCUAAAGAGAUGGUGGCAGAGGGUAAGAAUAACURGUGGGCUCUGCAAGCAGAGGGAGGUCACCAGUCACUCUUGUAAGGYUUGUUUUGGGACCCAUCCUCUUCAACAGACUCAGAAGUGACAGAAAUAGGGACAAACAGGGAGGUGACCGCRUUUGCAGGUGGCAUGAAGUUACCAGCACAGAGAGAACAAGAGAUGACUGGAGAAUUGCAUGACACGUAAAACAACGCACACAGGAAAAACAACCRUAACCACGCAUAGCAAUGGGCUGUUCUUUCCCCUACAUGAACCAAGGCCACCAAAAGAAAKUUUUGUGAGGUUCAGGUCCAGGUUAAAAAAAAAAAGAGAGGUUAAGAAGUAAAGGAGGUGAUUCUUCACAUGGACAGGRGAUGAACUAUGGAACUCCUUGGCAAAGGACGCUGUGUAUACAAAAAAUUUACAGGAAUUCAACUGGAGACYGGACAAGUUCUUGGAAGAGAGGUCCAGAAAUAUAUAAACCACAGCAGGGCCUGGGAAAUCCCUGGAACUGAAAAGAGGUGGGAAAGUCUUCCAUACAGAUCUCUCUGGGCUCAUGUAGCCACCAACCUGUCUCCUUUCUGUGAUUAAAGCCCUUUCUGGGCUCAGGGGAGCCACCGUGGGAGCUGGAGGCUUGCCCCAUGGAUCACACCAACCCCGGGACYGAACCACCGGACACUCCUGCGCGUCGACGUGGCACCGGAGCCUGGACGAGGACCUCCAGAGCCUUCRUGCUGACCAGCCGCCAGCCCCGUGUGCUCAGAGCUCAGCUCCUGAGACAAAGCCUGCUGUAUGCCAUUACUCAUCUCCAGGCUGCCAUCAGAUAGGUCUUUAAUUCGGUUUUAAUUAAAACAAUUCCUUC